Molecule: unclassified non-coding RNA, 252 nt
Filed under: Hevea brasiliensis (rubber tree)
Lineage: Eukaryota; Viridiplantae; Streptophyta; Magnoliopsida; Malpighiales; Euphorbiaceae
Source: RNAcentral
GCUGUUUGCAAUGCUGUUGUUGUUGCACGGUUGCUGAAUUCAACUCUUGUUGUUCCUAAAUUUAUGUACAGUAGUGUCUGGAGAGAUAUGAGUCAAUUCAGCGAUAUCUAUCAGGAGGAGCAUUUUAUUAAUUACCUGACUCCUGAUAUUCGGAUAGUGAAGGAACUUCCUGAGGACCUGCAAUCACUAGACUUGGAGGCGAUUGGUAGUGUUGUGACUGAUGUAGAUAUUAGGAAGGAGUCUAAGCCAAGC